RNAcentral lists this long non-coding RNA (299 nucleotides) under Homo sapiens (human). RNAcentral describes it as "HSALNT0006130". Lineage: Eukaryota; Metazoa; Chordata; Mammalia; Primates; Hominidae. The record is from RNAcentral.
CACAACACAGGUCUUUCCCCUCCCACUUGCCCUUCAGGCCAGCGGGGCCAGGGCUGUGCAGCCAGGACAGAACUCAGAAGCCAAAGCCUGCGGGUGACUCAGCACCUAGGAACCCAGGCAGCCUGGGACUAUCUGAUCCACUUGUUCUAAAACACAGCAGGUCCAUGGCCAGCAGGCCUCUGCCCCCGGGACGCCAGGAGGAGGAGAAUGCCAAAGACUCCGGGCGGAAACCCUCACCGGUGCGGCCCCGAGGCUGCCUGCCCAGCAUUGAUGAGGCCCGACCGGCAGGUCCAGGUCCA